This 104-nucleotide ribosomal RNA is filed under the name uncultured bacterium. RNAcentral's name for it is "partial 16S ribosomal RNA". It matches the Rfam family "Bacterial small subunit ribosomal RNA", at positions 389 to 509 of the family's 1533-position model. The record is from RNAcentral.
CAGCGACGCCGCGUGGGUGAUGACGGCCUUCGGGUUGUAAAGCCCUUUUGCCACUGAUGAGGAAGGACAGUAGGUGGCGAAUAAGCCUCGGCUAACUACGUGCC